This 335-nucleotide unclassified non-coding RNA is filed under the name soil metagenome. RNAcentral describes it as "partial contains 5.8S ribosomal RNA, internal transcribed spacer 2, and large subunit ribosomal RNA". The stretch from base 1 to 120 matches the Rfam family "5.8S ribosomal RNA", at positions 35 to 154 of the family's 154-position model. The record is from RNAcentral.
GAUGAAGAACGUAGUGAAAUGCGAUAAGUAGUGUGAAUUGCAGAAUUCAGUGAAUCAUCGAAUCUUUGAACGCACAUUGCGCCCCUUGGUAUUCCAUGGGGCAUGCCUGUUCGAGCGUCAUUUGUACCUUCAAGCUUUGCUUGGUGUUGGGUGUUUGUCUCGCCUUUGCGUGUAGACUCGCCUUAAAAUAAUUGGCAGCCGGCGUAUUGAUUUCGGAGCGCAGUACAUCUCGCGCUUUGCACUCAUAACGACAGCGUCCAAAAGUACAUUUUACACUCUUGACCUCGGAUCAGGUAGGGAUACCCGCUGAACUUAAGCAUAUCAAUAAGCGGAGG